This 330-nucleotide unclassified non-coding RNA is filed under the name soil metagenome. RNAcentral's name for it is "partial contains 5.8S ribosomal RNA, internal transcribed spacer 2, and large subunit ribosomal RNA". The stretch from base 1 to 120 matches the Rfam family "5.8S ribosomal RNA", at positions 35 to 154 of the family's 154-position model. The record is from RNAcentral.
GAUGAAGAACGUAGCGAAAUGCGAUAAGUAGUGUGAAUUGCAGAAUUCAGUGAAUCAUCGAAUCUUUGAACGCACAUUGCGCCCCUUGGUAUUCCAUGGGGCAUGCCUGUUCGAGCGUCAUUUGUACCCUCAAGCUUUGCUUGGUGUUGGGCGUCUUGUCAUAUUACGACUCGCCUUAAAUACAUUGGCAGCCGGCACUUUGGCCUAGGAGCGCAGCACAUUUUGCGAUCGUAGCCCGUUGUACUGGCGUCCAUCAAGAACAUUUACCACGUUUGACCUCGGAUCAGGUAGGGAUACCCGCUGAACUUAAGCAUAUCAAUAAGCGGAGGA